This 498-nucleotide ribosomal RNA is filed under the name uncultured bacterium. Its description in RNAcentral is "partial 16S ribosomal RNA". It matches the Rfam family "Bacterial small subunit ribosomal RNA", at positions 30 to 523 of the family's 1533-position model. The record is from RNAcentral.
AUUGAACGCUGGCGGCAUGCUUUACACAUGCAAGUCGAACGGUAACAGGUCUUCGGAUGCUGACGAGUGGCGAACGGGUGAGUAAUACAUCGGAACGUGCCUAGUAGUGGGGGAUAACUACUCGAAAGAGUAGCUAAUACCGCAUGAGAUCUACGGAUGAAAGCAGGGGACCUUCGGGCCUUGUGCUACUAGAGCGGCUGAUGGCAGAUUAGGUAGUUGGUGGGGUAAAGGCUUACCAAGCCUGCGAUCUGUAGCUGGUCUGAGAGGACGACCAGCCACACUGGGACUGAGACACGGCCCAGACUCCGACGGGAGGCAGCAGUGGGGAAUUUUGGGCAAUGGGCGAAAGCCUGAUCCAGCAGUGCCGCGUGCAGGAUGAAGGCCCUCUGGUUGUAAACUGCUUUUGUACGGAACGAAAAGCCUGGGGCUAAUAUCCCCGGGUCAUGACGGUACCGUAAGAAUAAGCACCGGCUAACUACGUGCCAGCCGCCGCCGUAA